AAAUUGAAGAGUUUGAUCAUGGCUCAGAUUGAACGCUGGCGGCAGGCCUAACACAUGCAAGUCGAACGGUAACAGGAAGCAGCUUGCUGCUUUGCUGACGAGUGGCGGACGGGUGAGUAAUGUCUGGGAAACUGCCUGAUGGAGGGGGAUAACUACUGGAAACGGUGGCUAAUACCGCAUAACGUCGCAAGACCAAAGAGGGGGACCUUCGGGCCUCUUGCCAUCAGAUGUGCCCAGAUGGGAUUAGCUUGUUGGUGAGGUAACGGCUCACCAAGGCGACGAUCCCUAGCUGGUCUGAGAGGAUGACCAGCCACACUGGAACUGAGACACGGUCCAGACUCCUACGGGAGGCAGCAGUGGGGAAUAUUGCACAAUGGGCGCAAGCCUGAUGCAGCCAUGCCGCGUGUAUGAAGAAGGCCUUCGGGUUGUAAAGUACUUUCAGCGGGGAGGAAGGUGUUGUGGUUAAUAACCACAGCAAUUGACGUUACCCGCAGAAGAAGCACCGGCUAACUCCGUGCCAGCAGCCGCGGUAAUACGGAGGGUGCAAGCGUUAAUCGGAAUUACUGGGCGUAAAGCGCACGCAGGCGGUCUGUCAAGUCGGAUGUGAAAUCCCCGGGCUCAACCUGGGAACUGCAUUCGAAACUGGCAGGCUUGAGUCUUGUAGAGGGGGGUAGAAUUCCAGGUGUAGCGGUGAAAUGCGUAGAGAUCUGGAGGAAUACCGGUGGCGAAGGCGGCCCCCUGGACAAAGACUGACGCUCAGGUGCGAAAGCGUGGGGAGCAAACAGGAUUAGAUACCCUGGUAGUCCACGCCGUAAACGAUGUCUACUUGGAGGUUGUGCCCUUGAGGCGUGGCUUCCGGAGCUAACGCGUUAAGUAGACCGCCUGGGGAGUACGGCCGCAAGGUUAAAACUCAAAUGAAUUGACGGGGGCCCGCACAAGCGGUGGAGCAUGUGGUUUAAUUCGAUGCAACGCGAAGAACCUUACCUGGUCUUGACAUCCACAGAACUUUUCCAGAGAUGGAUUGUGCCUUCGGGAACCUGUGAGACAGGUGCUGCAUGGCUGUCGUCAGCUCGUGUUGUGAAAUGUUGGGUUAAGUCCCGCAACGAGCGCAACCCUUAUCCUUUGUUGCCAGCGGUUAGGCCGGGAACUCAAAGGAGACUGCCAGUGAUAAACUGGAGGAAGGUGGGGAUGACGUCAAGUCAUCAUGGCCCUUACGACCAGGGCUACACACGUGCUACAAUGGCGCAUACAAAGAGAAGCGACCUCGCGAGAGCAAGCGGACCUCAUAAAGUGCGUCGUAGUCCGGAUUGGAGUCUGCAACUCGACUCCAUGAAGUCGGAAUCGCUAGUAAUCGUGGAUCAGAAUGCCACGGUGAAUACGUUCCCGGGCCUUGUACACACCGCCCGUCACACCAUGGGAGUGGGUUGCAAAAGAAGUAGGUAGCUUAACCUUCGGGAGGGCGCUUACCACUUUGUGAUUCAUGACUGGGGUGAAGUCGUAACAAGGUAACCGUAGGGGAACCUGCGGUUGGAUCACCUCCUUACCUUAAAGAAGC
RNAcentral lists this ribosomal RNA (1555 nucleotides) under Salmonella enterica subsp. enterica serovar Heidelberg str. N18440. RNAcentral's name for it is "bacterial SSU rRNA". It matches the Rfam family "Bacterial small subunit ribosomal RNA". Lineage: Bacteria; Pseudomonadati; Pseudomonadota; Gammaproteobacteria; Enterobacterales; Enterobacteriaceae. The record is from RNAcentral.